This 425-nucleotide ribosomal RNA is filed under the name uncultured bacterium. RNAcentral's name for it is "partial 16S ribosomal RNA". It matches the Rfam family "Bacterial small subunit ribosomal RNA", at positions 354 to 796 of the family's 1533-position model. The record is from RNAcentral.
GUUAGGAAUAUUGGACAAUGGGCGCAAGCCUGAUCCAGCCAUGCCGCGUGAGUGAUGAAGGCCUUCGGGUUGUAAAGCUCUUUAGUCCACGAAUAUAAUGACUGUAGUGGAAGAAUAAGCCCCGACUAACUUCGUGCCAGCAGCCGCGGUAAUACGAAGGGGGCGAGCGUUAUUCGGAAUCACUGGGCGUAAAGCGUUCGUAGGCUGUUUUGUAAGUCAGAAGUGAAAGCCCAGGGCUUAACCCUGGAAUUGCUUUUGAAACUACAAGACUCGAAUUCGGGAGAGGAUAGCGGAAUUGUCAGUGUAGCAGUGAAAUGCGUAGAUAUUGACAGGAACACCAGUGGCGCAAGCGGCUAUCUGGACCGAUAUUGACGCUGAGGCACGAAAGCGUGGGGAGCAAACAGGAUUAGAUACCCUGGUAGUCC